GGGGGCCGGCGCAAGCAGGAACGGGAGGAGAGCGCGCGCGAGCCCAAGGAAAGGAGAAACAAUGGCUAGGAGAAACCAUCUGGAAACUAAGGCUGGAACGGCCUGCCCGGGUCCCGCCCAGACCUGAGCUGGCUGAGCAAUGCAGCAGGCUGAGGAGGGCUUAGAACAACACCUGGCCAUAUUAAUUGGAAGAAAGAAAUGGAGGGUGAGAAGAUCAAAAGAGAACCAGACACAGAAGGAACUAAGAACCGGAAUGGCAGCCGAGCCACCAAAGCAGCUGACCAAGGACAUAUUGAUUUGUCCUGGGCUCCUUGCUGCCAUCUGAGCCAGCCACACAAGAAGAUAAAGACUCCAAAGAACUCACCCACGGCAAUCCAUCCUGCUUAAGCCUCCCACGGCCAGGUCCACAGUUCUCUGGAUAAUCUGCCAACUCUGCCCUUUUCAACCAAGCCUGACCAUCACUCACAGGGGAGUCAUGGUUCAGAGCACGAGAUCUGGAGUCAGCCGUCCUGCGUCAGGCCCAAGGCUCACUGAGUCAAAGGCUGUUUGCAAAUUUGCACAUUGGUUUGUGAUGCCCCCAAGCUGCCUCCUAAAAAGGCUGAACACAAUGCUGUUGACAUGUCCCACCAAUGUACAAGACCAUGCACAUCCCACAUCUUUUCCAAUCUUUUGGAAUAAACAAGCAAGAAAAGCUGUAUUAUUCUGCUUGC
This is a long non-coding RNA of Peromyscus eremicus (cactus mouse), 710 nucleotides long. RefSeq lists it as uncharacterized. The record is from RefSeq and is a predicted model, not a curated record. The transcript has 3 exons. Lineage: Eukaryota; Metazoa; Chordata; Mammalia; Rodentia; Cricetidae.